RNAcentral lists this ribosomal RNA (433 nucleotides) under uncultured bacterium. Its description in RNAcentral is "partial 16S ribosomal RNA". It matches the Rfam family "Bacterial small subunit ribosomal RNA", at positions 29 to 507 of the family's 1533-position model. The record is from RNAcentral.
AACGAACGCUGGCGGCAUGCCUAACACAUGCAAGUCGAACGAGACCUUCGGGUCUUGUGGCGCACGGGUGCGUAACGCGUGGGAACCUGCCCUUAGGAUCGGAAUAACUCCCCGAAAGGGGUGCUAAUACCGGACAAUGUCUUCUGACCAAAGCCUUAUCGCCGUGGGAUGGGCCCGCGUUGGAUUAGCUAGUUGGUAGGGUAAAAGCCUACCAAGGCGACGUGUCAUGGCUGGUCGGAGAGGAUGACCAGCCAGACUGGGACUGAGACACGGCCCAGACUCCUACGGGAGGGAGCAGUGGGGAAUAUUGGGGAAUGGAGCAAGGCCUGAUACAGCAAUGCCGCGUGAGUGAUGAAGGCCUUAGGAUUGUAAAGCUCUCUUACCCGGGAUGAUAAUGACAGUACCGGGAGAAUAAGCUCCGGCUAACUCCGUG